AGAGUUUGAUCAUGGCUCAGAACGAAACGCUGGCGGCGUGCCUAACACAUGCAAGUCGUGCGAGAAAAGGGGGGCAACUCCCUGAGUACAGCGGCGCACGGGUGAGUAACACGUAGGUAACCUACCCUCGAGCCUGGGAUAACCUACCGAAAGGUGGGCUAAUACCGGAUGUGACCACGGGAGUUUCGGCUCCUGAGGUAAAAGAUGGCCUCUGCUUGCAAGCUAUCACUCGUGGAGGGGCCUGCGCGCCAUUAGCUAGUUGGCGGGGUAAUGGCCCACCAAGGCUCUGAUGGCUAGCUGGUCUGAGAGGAUGACCAGCCACACUGGGACUGAAACACGGCCCAGACUCCUACGGGAGGCAGCAGUGGGGGAUAUUGCGCAAUGGGCGAAAGCCUGACGCAGCGACGCCGCGUGGGUGAUGAAGGCCUUCGGGUCGUAAAGCCCUGUCGAGGGGGACGAACCGGCCGCGACCGAAUACGUCGCGACCCUGACGGUACCCCUAAAGGAAGCACCGGCUAACUCCGUGCCAGCAGCCGCGGUAAUACGGAGGGUGCGAGCGUUGUUCGGAAUCACUGGGCGUAAAGCGCGUGUAGGCGGCCUGCUAAGUCUGAUGUGAAAGCCCGAGGCUCACCCUCGGAAGUGCAUUGGAAACUGGCAGACUGGAGUCCCGGAGAGGAGGGUGGAAUUCCUGGUGUAGCGGUGAAAUGCGUAGAUAUCAGGAGGAACACCGGUGGCGAAGGCGGCCCUCUGGACGGUGACUGACGCUGAGACGCGAAAGCGUGGGGAGCAAACAGGAUUAGAUACCCUCGUAGUCC
RNAcentral lists this ribosomal RNA (815 nucleotides) under uncultured bacterium. RNAcentral's name for it is "bacterial SSU rRNA". It matches the Rfam family "Bacterial small subunit ribosomal RNA", at positions 8 to 796 of the family's 1533-position model. The record is from RNAcentral.